Molecule: ribosomal RNA, 775 nt
Filed under: uncultured bacterium
Lineage: Bacteria
Description: bacterial SSU rRNA
Rfam family: Bacterial small subunit ribosomal RNA
Source: RNAcentral
AUUGAACGCUGGCGGCAUGCCUAACACAUGCAAGUCGAACGGUAGCAGGCCCUUCGGGGUGCUGACGAGUGGCGGACGGGUGAGGAAUGCAUCGGGGUCUGCCCUGUUGUGGGGGAUAACUUAGGGAAACUUAAGCUAAUACCGCAUACGACCUUAGGGUGAAAGCGGGGGACCUUCGGGCCUCGCGCAGCAGGAUGAACCGAUGUCGGAUUAGCUAGUUGGUAGGGUAAAGGCCUACCAAGGCGACGAUCCGUAGCUGGUCUGAGAGGAUGAUCAGCCACACCGGGGACUGAGACACGGGCCCCAGACUCCUACGGGAGGCAGCAGUGGGGAAUAUUGGACAAUGGGCGCAAGCCUGAUCCAGCAAUGCCGCGUGUGUGAAGAAGGCCUCGGGUUGUAAAGCACUUUUAUCAGGAAAGAAAUCCGCUGGACUAAUACUUUGGCGGGAUGACGGUACCUGAGGAAUAAGCACCGGCUAACUUCGUGCCAGCAGCCGCGGUAAUACGAAGGGUGCAAGCGUUAAUCGGAAUUACUGGGCGUAAAGCGUGCGUAGGUGGUUUGUUAAGUCUGCUGUGAAAGCCCUGGGCUCAACCUGGGAAUUGCAGUGGAUACUGGCUAACUAGAGUGCGGUAGAGGGUUGUGGAAUUCCCGGUGUAGCAGUGAAAAUGCGUAGAUAUCGGGAGGAACACCAGUGGCGAAGGCGGCAACCUGGACCAGCACUGACACUGAGGCACGAAAAGCGUGGGGGAGCAAACAGGAUUAGAUACCCUGGUAG